RNAcentral lists this ribosomal RNA (378 nucleotides) under uncultured bacterium. RNAcentral's name for it is "bacterial SSU rRNA". It matches the Rfam family "Bacterial small subunit ribosomal RNA", at positions 523 to 898 of the family's 1533-position model. The record is from RNAcentral.
AUACGGAGGGUGCAAGCGUUGUCCGGAAUUAUUGGGUGUAAAGGGUGUGCAGGCGGGGCGGUAAGUCAGGGGUGAAAGUCUACGGCUCAACCGUAGGAUGGCCUUUGAUACUGUCGUCCUUGAGUCCCGGAGAGGCCAUUAGAAUUCGUGGUGUAGCGGUGAAAUGCGUAGAUAUCACGAGGAAUACCGGAAGCGUAGGCGGAUGGCUGGACGGCGACUGACGCUCAGGCACGAAAGCGUGGGGAGCGAACAGGAUUAGAUACCCUGGUAGUCCACACUGUAAACGAUGGAUGCUCGGUGUUCGACUCCGUUAGCGGGUUGAGUGCCCAAGUUAACGCGAUAAGCAUCCCACCUGGGGAGUACGCUCGCAAGAGUGAA